This 253-nucleotide ribosomal RNA is filed under the name uncultured bacterium. Its description in RNAcentral is "partial 16S ribosomal RNA". It matches the Rfam family "Bacterial small subunit ribosomal RNA", at positions 524 to 776 of the family's 1533-position model. The record is from RNAcentral.
UACGUAGGGCGCAAGCGUUAUCCGGAAUUAUUGGGCGUAAAGAGCUCGUAGGCGGUUUGUCGCGUCUGCCGUGAAAGUCCGGGGCUUAACCCCGGAUCUGCGGUGGGUACGGGCAGACUUGAGUGAUGUAGGGGAGACUGGAAUUCCUGGUGUAGCGGUGAAAUGCGCAGAUAUCAGGAGGAACACCGAUGGCGAAGGCAGGUCUCUGGGCAUUAACUGACGCUGAGGAGCGAAAGCAUGGGGAGCGAACAGG